UGGCACUCCUUGAUUGGUUGAUGU
This 24-nucleotide non-coding RNA is filed under the name Arabidopsis thaliana (thale cress). Lineage: Eukaryota; Viridiplantae; Streptophyta; Magnoliopsida; Brassicales; Brassicaceae. The record is from RNAcentral.